CUCACCAAUUGAAGACAAUGCUUGCGAUGGAUCUGGUGAUGAUGAGAUCGAGCACGAGAGGAUGUCUGUAUCUUCUCAGUCAGAGAUGGCAUGUCUCCGCCCAUGGACUCCGCCAAAAAGAUUAUGAGAAACCCGGUAGGCAUGGGAGUGAGGAAAAGACGAAAGUACCUCCGAAAGGGUAACGGGGCAUUUUGGAGUGGAAGGACAACAUUCCUGUUGGGGAUUAGGCUGUCAGAUUUAAUAACUUGAUUGGCUGUUUAAUAAGAGAUCCACGCUCCAUUAAUAUUGCUCAUAAUUUUGAGGAGCAAGAAUUUAAAUGCAUAAAAAAGAUUUGGGAGAAGCUCAUGGAUCAUUAUUGUCUUGAAGACAACCCAGAGUCUUAGGAUUAUGUUAUCCCGAAAAUGGCCAAGCUUAUUCGGGGUUGGAAGAGUGAUCUAAAGAAAAGAUAUUUCACAAAUUUAUCUACUGAUUGGAAGAGGAUCUAUGAGCUUGAUAAGAGAGUUCCUCCAUUUAAUUGGAUGACUCUCAUUAUCGAGUGGGAGGGUGAGAAGAAGAAAAUAUGUGAAACGGCAUCGGCGAAUCGUAGAUCAAAGCUAUAUGAUCACUUUUUAG
Long non-coding RNA from Asparagus officinalis (garden asparagus), 612 nucleotides. RefSeq lists it as uncharacterized. The record is from RefSeq and is a predicted model, not a curated record. NCBI's taxonomy places the organism in Eukaryota, Viridiplantae, Streptophyta, Magnoliopsida, Asparagales, Asparagaceae. The transcript has 5 exons.